AAAUUGAAGAGUUUGAUCAUGGCUCAGAUUGAACGCUGGCGGCAGGCCUAACACAUGCAAGUCGAACGGUAACAGGAAGCAGCUUGCUGCUUGCUGACGAGUGGCGGACGGGUGAGUAAUGUCUGGGAAACUGCCUGAUGGAGGGGGAUAACUACUGGAAACGGUGGCUAAUACCGCAUAACGUCGCAAGACCAAAGAGGGGGACCUUCGGGCCUCUUGCCAUCAGAUGUGCCCAGAUGGGAUUAGCUUGUUGGUGAGGUAACGGCUCACCAAGGCGACGAUCCCUAGCUGGUCUGAGAGGAUGACCAGCCACACUGGAACUGAGACACGGUCCAGACUCCUACGGGAGGCAGCAGUGGGGAAUAUUGCACAAUGGGCGCAAGCCUGAUGCAGCCAUGCCGCGUGUAUGAAGAAGGCCUUCGGGUUGUAAAGUACUUUCAGCGGGGAGGAAGGUGUUGUGGUUAAUAACCACAGCAAUUGACGUUACCCGCAGAAGAAGCACCGGCUAACUCCGUGCCAGCAGCCGCGGUAAUACGGAGGGUGCAAGCGUUAAUCGGAAUUACUGGGCGUAAAGCGCACGCAGGCGGUCUGUCAAGUCGGAUGUGAAAUCCCCGGGCUCAACCUGGGAACUGCAUUCGAAACUGGCAGGCUUGAGUCUUGUAGAGGGGGGUAGAAUUCCAGGUGUAGCGGUGAAAUGCGUAGAGAUCUGGAGGAAUACCGGUGGCGAAGGCGGCCCCCUGGACAAAGACUGACGCUCAGGUGCGAAAGCGUGGGGAGCAAACAGGAUUAGAUACCCUGGUAGUCCACGCCGUAAACGAUGUCUACUUGGAGGUUGUGCCCUUGAGGCGUGGCUUCCGGAGCUAACGCGUUAAGUAGACCGCCUGGGGAGUACGGCCGCAAGGUUAAAACUCAAAUGAAUUGACGGGGGCCCGCACAAGCGGUGGAGCAUGUGGUUUAAUUCGAUGCAACGCGAAGAACCUUACCUGGUCUUGACAUCCACAGAACUUUCCAGAGAUGGAUUGGUGCCUUCGGGAACUGUGAGACAGGUGCUGCAUGGCUGUCGUCAGCUCGUGUUGUGAAAUGUUGGGUUAAGUCCCGCAACGAGCGCAACCCUUAUCCUUUGUUGCCAGCGGUUAGGCCGGGAACUCAAAGGAGACUGCCAGUGAUAAACUGGAGGAAGGUGGGGAUGACGUCAAGUCAUCAUGGCCCUUACGACCAGGGCUACACACGUGCUACAAUGGCGCAUACAAAGAGAAGCGACCUCGCGAGAGCAAGCGGACCUCAUAAAGUGCGUCGUAGUCCGGAUUGGAGUCUGCAACUCGACUCCAUGAAGUCGGAAUCGCUAGUAAUCGUGGAUCAGAAUGCCACGGUGAAUACGUUCCCGGGCCUUGUACACACCGCCCGUCACACCAUGGGAGUGGGUUGCAAAAGAAGUAGGUAGCUUAACCUUCGGGAGGGCGCUUACCACUUUGUGAUUCAUGACUGGGGUGAAGUCGUAACAAGGUAACCGUAGGGGAACCUGCGGUUGGAUCACCUCCUUACCUUAAAG
This 1549-nucleotide ribosomal RNA is filed under the name Salmonella enterica subsp. enterica serovar Heidelberg str. 607309-5. RNAcentral describes it as "bacterial SSU rRNA". It matches the Rfam family "Bacterial small subunit ribosomal RNA". The record is from RNAcentral. Lineage: Bacteria; Pseudomonadati; Pseudomonadota; Gammaproteobacteria; Enterobacterales; Enterobacteriaceae.